CAGCCGCCACGGUAAUACGUAGGGUGCAAGCGUUAAUCGGAAUUACUGGGCGUAAAGCGUGCGCAGGCGGUUAUAUAAGACAGAUGUGAAAUCCCCGGGCUCAACCUGGGAACUGCAUUUGUGACUGUAUAGCUAGAGUACGGCAGAGGGGGAUGGAAUUCCGCGUGUAGCAGUGAAAUGCGUAGAUAUGCGGAGGAACACCGAUGGCGAAGGCAAUCCCCUGGGCCUGUACUGACGCUCAUGCACGAAAGCGUGGGGAGCAAACAGGAUUAGAUACCCCAGUAGUCCCUGUCUCUUAUAA
This 301-nucleotide ribosomal RNA is filed under the name uncultured bacterium. Its description in RNAcentral is "partial 16S ribosomal RNA". It matches the Rfam family "Bacterial small subunit ribosomal RNA", at positions 509 to 809 of the family's 1533-position model. The record is from RNAcentral.